UUAGUGAGUGAAGCUGGUACAAGCAAGAUGAAAACCGCGGUGUUGCUGUUGGUACUACUCCUUUCUUUGGUUUUGGUCGAAGGAGGUAUUCCCUUGAGUAUUGCAGAGACCAAACCAAGAAUCUUGAAGAUGAACGACCGCAGACGCUUCAAAGAGUCUCAACAGGAAGUUCAGUACCGAAGAGACAUCUGCUUACAGGCUCGUGAGCUGGGAUGUGAGGUGGAACGAAAGAAAUGAAUUCACUUGAACUGAAGACAAAACAGCUUACCAGUUAACGUUCGAAUGCAUUAUUAGAUGAUUAAAUUGAAGUAUAGAUUGUUUUUGCUGUAAAAAUAAACUGCAUUAAUCCAAAAGAGGUUGUGUUCUUUACGAUAAAUAUAUAUUGGUUACAAUGUGUUAAAAUAAAAUUUCUGGAUGAUGUGCUGGAAAAA
Molecule: long non-coding RNA, 431 nt
Organism: Stylophora pistillata
Lineage: Eukaryota; Metazoa; Cnidaria; Anthozoa; Scleractinia; Pocilloporidae
Source: RefSeq, a predicted model, not a curated record